RNAcentral lists this ribosomal RNA (446 nucleotides) under uncultured bacterium. Its description in RNAcentral is "partial 16S ribosomal RNA". It matches the Rfam family "Bacterial small subunit ribosomal RNA", at positions 331 to 792 of the family's 1533-position model. The record is from RNAcentral.
CCAGACUCCUACGGGAGGCAGCAGUGGGGAAUAUUGCACAAUGGGGGGAACCCUGAUGCAGCGACGCCGCGUGGGCGAGGAAGUAUUUCGGUAUGUAAAGCCCUAUCGGCAGGGAAGAAGAAAUGACGGUACCUGAAUAAGAAGCACCGGCUAAAUACGUGCCAGCAGCCGCGGUAAUACGUAUGGUGCAAGCGUUAUCCGGAUUUACUGGGUGUAAAGGGGGCGCAGACGGCGAUGCAAGCCAGGAGUGAAAGCCCGGGGCCCAACCCCGGGACUGCUCUUGGAACUGCGUGGCUAGAGUGCAGGAGGGGCAGGCGGAAUUCCUGGUGUAGCGGUGAAAUGCGUAGAUAUCAGGAGGAACACCGGUGGCGAAGGCGGCCUGCUGGACUGCGACUGACGUUGAGGCCCGAAAGCGUGGGGAGCAAACAGGAUUAGAUACCCGUGUA